AGCUACAACCGGAGCGUGACGGGCAACUUUCCGGUGCUGCCACCGACCGUGGGGAAGGGAAAAUAUCAGACGUUGGAGCUUGUCGACGCUCCCGUCUUGUGCGCUUGUUAAUGCGCCACAGAUGCCCCCACUACUCCGUACGAAAAACCGCCCUCUGUGUUCUCUGCCGACUGAUAUGGAUCAAGGCAAGAAAGCGAGCACCUGAAUUAUCCGAAGAAGAAGAAGAGGUGAACAUUUCGAGAUUCGAUAACUGAUCCCGAUUGCCGCCACCAUGAAAGGCCCCUUACAGCAACGAUGGUUGCGAUCAUGGACAAAACGGCCACGAAUGCAGGACCUCUUCUUCAUCUCCACUCGCUCAAGGAUUGAAUGAAUUAAGUAGACAAGCCCUCACGUCGUGAUUUCUAGAGUGUGGACUCUCUUGCAGAAUCCGAAUCAGUUGAAGAGAACGAUGGAUCCGGAAACACCCGUUCCCUAAAGCACCGGAAUUCAUCACCGUUGGCAGCAGCAGCAAUUUAAUGCCAUAUUGAAUUAUUCAAAUUUUCCGUAACCUAUUUAGUGCCAAACCGCAUCGUACAUCAAUGUAGCGAAAAUGCCUGUCUUACAUGGCAAGUCUAGUGAGUGUCCGUUGAAACACCUAAGUCGGUUUGGGAAAGUGUGUCACGCAAACAAUGUCCCCUCGGUCGAGAUGAAGAUGAGGAUUUCCCCGUGACACUCGAAGAUGAAGCAGCCUUGUGGUACGAUCUCAACAUCGAACCUUACCCUUUGCUCACCUUGGAGGAGAUCAAGUUAGCCUUCGUGCAGGCUUACCAAAAUGUCGGCCCCGUCGACUAAUUAAGAUCAGAGCUUACGACCCUGACUCAGGGGGCUGAUGAGCCUGUGCGUUCCUACUUACUGAGGAUUCAGAGGAUCAUCAAGAUGUGGCCCGAAUUUCACGGGCUUCCAGAUAGACUUCUCAAGGUUCAUCGAUGGGCGCAGAGAAAGACUUCAGGGAGUGGAUAGGCCCGCAGAAUCCCGACUCCCUUACGAAGCCCUGAGGCUUGCAUUCUAAUACGAGCAGGUGAAGGGUGUGGUGUACGCUGCUAAGGUCGAGCUGAAGUGCGGGUUUUGUGGGGAGCCACACGAGGAAAUCGAGGGGUGUGAGGUAAGGGAGAGGAGGAGAGUUGCGGUUGCAGGUCAAGGAGGAGGGGGAAAAUUUGGAGAUCGAGAGGCUUUCGGGUUCUGCUAGCGGUGAGGACGGGACGUGAGGAAGAGGAGCCUGUGGCAUUGGCGAUCGAUGUUGGAGAUAUCAGUGCUGGAAGAAGAGGCUUGACAGGAACUCAAGCAAUCUGACCAUCCAUCCAAGCCCGUUUCCAUUCUUUCGUGCCCAAUAUUGUCUAUGAUCCUGUCUUUGAAUAAGUUAAUGAUGUCGAUGCAUCCUGCGAUCGCAGUUAGGAACCUCCAUGUUUAUGGUUGUGUAAGUGCUCAACUUCUUGGUUCAAUUUUCGGCUCUUGAGCUUCCCAAUAAGUGGCUCCUAAGCUUUCUUAUAACCAAAAGAAAAGAAAAAAAUCAAUAAUACAAUCCGAUGGUUUUGACUUUGAAUUUGAGAACUAAA
This is a non-coding RNA of Punica granatum (pomegranate), 1592 nucleotides long. Lineage: Eukaryota; Viridiplantae; Streptophyta; Magnoliopsida; Myrtales; Lythraceae. The record is from RefSeq and is a predicted model, not a curated record.